This 509-nucleotide ribosomal RNA is filed under the name uncultured bacterium. RNAcentral's name for it is "bacterial SSU rRNA". It matches the Rfam family "Bacterial small subunit ribosomal RNA", at positions 16 to 518 of the family's 1533-position model. The record is from RNAcentral.
AUUAUGGCUCAGGAUGAACGCUAGCGGCAGGCUUAACACAUGCAAGUCGAGGGGCAGCGCGAGUAGCAAUACUUGGCGGCGACCGGCGCAAGGGUGCGUAACGCGUGAGCAACAUGCCCGUAUCAGGGGGAUAAUCCAGGGAAACUUGGUCUAAUACCCCAUAGUAAUUUUGUAAGGCAUCUUAUAAGAUUUAAAGUUUUGGUGGAUACGGAUUGGCUCGCGUGACAUUAGCUGGAUGGUAAGGUAACGGCUUACCAUGGCUAUGAUGUCUAGGGGUUCUGAGAGGAAGGUCCCCCCACACUGGAACUGAGACACGGUCCAGACUCCUACGGGAGGCAGCAGUGAGGAAUAUUGGACAAUGGAUGGAAAUCUGAUCCAGCCAUGCCGCGUGAAGGAAGAAAGGUCCUAUGGAUUGUAAACUUCUUUUGUAUGGGAGCAAUAAGGCCUACGAGUAGGUUGAUGAGAGUACCAUACGAAUAAGCACCGGCUAACUCCGUGCCAGCAGCUGC